This 1475-nucleotide ribosomal RNA is filed under the name metagenome. RNAcentral describes it as "bacterial SSU rRNA". It matches the Rfam family "Bacterial small subunit ribosomal RNA". The record is from RNAcentral.
AGAGUUUGAUCCUGGCUCAGGAUGAACGCUAGCUACAGGCUUAACACAUGCAAGUCGAGGGGAAACGAUAUUGGAAGCUUGCUUCCGAUAGGCGUCGACCGGCGCACGGGUGAGUAACGCGUAUCCAACCUGCCCAUCACUUGGGGAUAACCUUGCGAAAGUAAGACUAAUACCCAAUGACGUCUCUAGAAGACAUCUGAAGGAGAUUAAAGAUUUAUCGGUGAUGGAUGGGGAUGCGUCUGAUUAGCUUGUUGGCGGGGUAACGGCCCACCAAGGCGACGAUCGGUAGCCGGACUGAGAGGUUGAACGGCCACAUUGGGACUGAGACACGGCCCAGACUCCUACGGGAGGCAGCAGUGGGAAAUAUUGCACAAUGGGGGAAACCCUGAUGCAGCGACGCCGCGUGGAGGAAGAAGGUCUUCGGAUUGUAAACUCCUGUUGUUGAGGAAGAUAAUGACGGUACUCAACAAGGAAGUGACGGCUAACUACGUGCCAGCAGCCGCGGUAAAACGUAGGUCACAAGCGUUGUCCGGAAUUACUGGGUGUAAAGGGAGCGCAGGCGGGAAGACAAGUUGGAAGUGAAAUCCAUGGGCUCAACCCAUGAACUGCUUUCAAAACUGUUUUUCUUGAGUAGUGCAGAGGUAGGCGGAAUUCCCGGUGUAGCGGUGGAAUGCGUAGAUAUCGGGAGGAACACCAGUGGCGAAGGCGGCCUACUGGGCACCAACUGACGCUGAGGCUCGAAAGUGUGGGUAGCAAACAGGAUUAGAUACCCUGGUAGUCCACACUGUAAACGAUGAUUACUAGGUGUUGGAGGAUUGACCCCUUCAGUGCCGCAGUUAACACAAUAAGUAAUCCACCUGGGGAGUACGACCGCAAGGUUGAAACUCAAAGGAAUUGACGGGGGCCCGCACAAGCAGUGGAGUAUGUGGUUUAAUUCGACGCAAGGCGAAGAACCUUACCAAGUCUUGACAUCCCUUGACGAUGCUGGAAACAGUAUUUCUCUUCGGAGCAAGGAGACAGGUGGUGCAUGGUUGUCGUCAGCUCGUGUCGUGGGAUGUUGGGUCAAGUCCCGCAACGAGCGCAACCCUUAUGGUCAGUUACUACGCAAGAGGACUCUGGCCAGACUGCCGUUGACAAAACGGAGGAAGGUGGGGAUGACGUCAAAUCAUCAUGCCCUUUAUGACUUGGGCUACACACGUACUACAAUGGCGUUAAACAAAGAGAAGCAAGACCGCGAGGUGGAGCAAAACUCAGAAACAACGUCCCAGUUCGGACUGCAGGCUGCAACUCGCCUGCACGAAGUCGGAAUUGCUAGUAAUCGCAGAUCAGCAUGCUGCGGUGAAUACGUUCCCGGGCCUUGUACACACCGCCCGUCACACCAUGAGAGCCGGGGGGACCCGAAGUCGGUAGUCUAACCGCAAGGAGGACGCCGCCGAAGGUAAAACUGGUGAUUGGGGUGAAGUCGUAACAAGGUA